Molecule: ribosomal RNA, 301 nt
Filed under: uncultured bacterium
Lineage: Bacteria
Description: partial 16S ribosomal RNA
Rfam family: Bacterial small subunit ribosomal RNA
Source: RNAcentral
CAGUCGCCGCGGUAAGACAGAGGAUGCAAGCGUUAUCCGGAAUGAUUGGGCGUAAAGCGUCUGUAGGUGGCUUUUCAAGUCCGCCGUCAAAUCCCCGGGCUCAACCCUGGACAGGCAGUGGAAACUACCAAGCUGGAGUACGGUAGGGGCAGAGGGAAUUUCCGGUGGAGCGGUGAAAUGCGUAGAGAUGUGGAGGAACACCAGUGGCGAAGGCGACUCUCUGGUCUGUAACUGACGCUGAGGAGCGAAAGCGUGGGGAGCGAACAGGAUUAGAUACCCCAGUAGUCCCUGUCUCUUAUAC